This 503-nucleotide ribosomal RNA is filed under the name uncultured bacterium. RNAcentral describes it as "partial 16S ribosomal RNA". It matches the Rfam family "Bacterial small subunit ribosomal RNA", at positions 30 to 523 of the family's 1533-position model. The record is from RNAcentral.
AUUGAACGCUGGCGGCAGGCUUAACACAUGCAAGUCGAGCGGGGUGAUGGUGCUUGCACUAUCACUUAGCGGCGGACGGGUGAGUAAUGCUUAGGAAUCUGCCUAUUAGUGGGGGACAACAUCUCGAAAGGGAUGCUAAUACCGCAUACGUCCUACGGGAGAAAGCAGGGGAUCACUUGUGACCUUGCGCUAAUAGAUGAGCCUAAGUCGGAUUAGCUAGUUGGUGGGGUAAAGGCCUACCAAGGCGACGAUCUGUAGCGGGUCUGAGAGGAUGAACCGCCACACUGGGACUGAGACACGGCCCAGACUCCUACGUGAGGCAGCAGUGGGGAAGAUUGGACAAUGGGGGGAACCCUGAUCCAGCCAUGCCGCGUGUGUGAAGAAGGCCUUAUGGUUGUAAAGCACUUUAAGCGAGGAGGAGGCUCUUUUGGUUAAUACCCAAGAUGAGUGGACGUUACUCGCAGAAUAAGCACCGGCUAACUCUGUGCCAGCCGCCGCGGUAA